UUGCAUGUGGAAAUGCUUUCUCCUCAUUCCUUUUGGAAGAAGGAAUAUAUCCAUAGCAUGCUAUAUUAAAAGGAGUUCUCUGGGUUGCCAACUUUACGGUAGAGGUUUAGUAGUAGUAUAUUUCUCCUACAUAA
Molecule: small nucleolar RNA, 134 nt
Organism: Jaculus jaculus (lesser Egyptian jerboa)
Lineage: Eukaryota; Metazoa; Chordata; Mammalia; Rodentia; Dipodidae
Source: Ensembl